GAUCUGUAGCCGAACUGAGAGGUUGAUCGGCCGCAUUGGGACUGAGACACGGCCCAGGCUCCUACGGGAGGCAGCAGUGGGGAAUAUUGCGCAAUGGGGGCAACCCUGACGCAGCAACGCCGCGUGCAGGAAGAAGGUCUUCGGAUUGUAAACUGUUGUCGCAAGGGAAGAAGACAGUGACGGUACCUUGUGAGAAAGUCACGGCUAACUACGUGCCAGCAGCCGCGGUAAUACGUAGGUGACAAGCGUUGUCCGGAUUUACUGGGUGUAAAGGGCGCGUAGGCGGACUGUCAAGUCAGUCGUGAAAUACCGGGGCUUAACCCCGGGGCUGCGAUUGAAACUGACAGCCUUGAGUAUCGGAGAGGAAAGCGGAAUUCCUAGUGUAGCGGUGAAAUGCGUAGAUAUUAGGAGGAACACCAGUGGCGAAGGCGGCUUUCUGGACGACAACUGACGCUGAGGCGCGAAAGUGUGGGGAGCAAACAGGAUUAGAUACCCUGGUAGUCCACACCGUAAACGAUGGAUACUAGGUGUAGGAGGUAUCGACCCCUUCUGUGCCGCAGUUGACACAAUAAGUAUCCCACCUGGGGAGUACGACCGCAAGGUUGAAACUCAAAGGAAUUGACGGGGGCCCGCACAAGCAGUGGAGUAUGUGGUUUAAUUCGAAGCAACGCGAAGAACCUUACCUGGGCUUGACAUCCCUGGAAUCGAGUAGAGAUACUUGAGUGCCUUCGGGAAUCAGGUGACAGGUGGUGCAUGGUUGUCGUCAGCUCGUGUCGUGAGAUGUUGGGUUAAGUCCCGCAACGAGCGCAACCCCUAUUGUCAGUUGCCAUCAUUAAGUUGGGCACUCUGGCGAGACUGCCGGUGACAAAUCGGAGGAAGGUGGGGACGACGUCAAAUCAUCAUGCCCCUUAUGCCCAGGGCUACACACGUACUACAAUGGCCGAUAACAAAGUGCAGCGAAACCGUGAGGUGGAGCGAAUCACAAAACUCGGUCUCAGUUCAGAUUGCAGGCUGCAACUCGCCUGCAUGAAGUUGGAAUUGCUAGUAAUCGCGGAUCAGAAUGCCGCGGUGAAUACGUUCCCGGGCCUUGUACACACCGCCCGUCACACCAUGAGAGUCGAUAACACCCGAAGCCUGUGAGCUAACCUUUUAGGAGGCAGCAGUCGAAGGUGGGGUUGAUGAUUGGGGUGAAGUCGUAACAAGGUA
RNAcentral lists this ribosomal RNA (1206 nucleotides) under metagenome. RNAcentral describes it as "bacterial SSU rRNA". It matches the Rfam family "Bacterial small subunit ribosomal RNA", at positions 278 to 1498 of the family's 1533-position model. The record is from RNAcentral.